RNAcentral lists this ribosomal RNA (1499 nucleotides) under Phycisphaerae bacterium. RNAcentral's name for it is "bacterial SSU rRNA". It matches the Rfam family "Bacterial small subunit ribosomal RNA". The record is from RNAcentral. Lineage: Bacteria; Pseudomonadati; Planctomycetota; Phycisphaerae.
AAAUUGAAGAGUUUGAUCCUGGCUCAGAUUGAACGCUGGCGGCAUGGCUAAAACAUGCAAGUCGAACGAUUAAAGCUUCUUCGGAAGUAUAUAAAGUGGCGUAAGGGCGAGUAAUAUAUUUCUAUGUACCCCUAAGUUGAGGAUAGCCCAGAGAAAUUUGGUGUAAUACUCAAUGUGGUCUCCGGAUCAAAGAUUUAUCGCUUAGGGAGCAGGGAAUAUCCUAUCAGGUAGUUGGUGAGGUAACGGCUCACCAAGCCAAAGACGGGUAGCGGGUGUGAGAGCAUGACCCGCCGCAUCGGAACUGAGACACUGUCCGGACUCCUACGGGAGGCUGCAGUAACGAAUAUUCCGCAAUGAGCGAAAGCUUGACGGAGCAAUGCCGCGUGUAGGAUGAAUCUCUUCGGAGUGUAAACUACUGUCAGAGACUAGGAACUCAAUGACCAAUCUCAAAGGAAGGGCCGGCUAACUUCGUGCCAGCAGCCGCGGUAAUACGAAGGGCCCGAGCGUUAUUCGGAAUCACUGGGCUUAAAGCGUACGUAGGCUGGUAUAUAGGCAUUUUGUGAAAUCCCUCGGCUCAACCGAGGAACUGCAGAGUGAACCAUAUACCUUGAGACAGACAGAGGUCGUUGGAACGAUUGGUGGAGUGGUGAAAUGCGUUGAUAUCAAUCGGAACGCCAAUGGAGAAGUCAAGCGACUGGGUCUGUUCUGACGCUGAGGUACGAAAGCGUGGGUAGCGAACGGGAUUAGAUACCCCGGUAGUCCACGCCGUAAACGAUGUGCACUAGGUCGAGGGCGUUCUGACGCGACUCUCGGCCGAAGCGAAAGUGUUAAGUGCACCGCCUGGGGAGUACGGUCGCAAGGCUAAAACUCAAAGGAAUUGACGGGGGCUCACACAAGCGGUGGAGCAUGUGGCUUAAUUCGAAGCAACGCGAAGAACCUUAUCCUAGGUUUGACAUACACGGAUUAGCUAUAAGAAACUAUAGUGACACCUUCGGGUGGAACGUGAACAGGUGCUGCAUGGCUGUCGUCAGCUCGUGCUGUGAAGUGUCGGGUUAAGUCCCUUAACGAGCGCAACCCUUAUCGUUAGUUGCUAACAGGUAAUGCUGAGGACUCUAGCGAGACUGCCGGUGUUAAACCGGAGGAAGGUGGGGAUGACGUCAAGUCCGCAUGGCCUUUAUGCCUAGGGCUGCACACGUGCUACAAUGGCAAGUACAGAACGAUGCAAUACCGCGAGGUGGAGCAAAUCGCUAAAGCUUGCCCCAGUUCGGAUUGCAGGCUGCAACUCGCCUGCAUGAAGUUGGAAUCGCUAGUAAUCGCGGAUCAGCACGCCGCGGUGAAUACGUUCCUGAGCCUUGUACACACCGCCCGUCAAGUCAUGGAAGCUGGUAGUGCCUUAAGUCGCCGAAAUUCAUCGGUGCCCACGGCAAGACUGGUGACUGGGACUAAGUCGUAACAAGGUAGCCGUAGGGGAACCUGCGGCUGGAUCACCUCCUUUCUAA